AAGUUUUAAAACUAUGUUUGUCAGUUUUUGUCGAUGCACGAAACGCUGACGACAACAAAAAGACUCUGCAGAUCAUCGGGGAAGCUCUAAUUUUUUUCGAGUUCAAAUUGUUGUCCUCUUUUGAUGAUGUGUUAUCUUCCAUUUCGAUGGAUCAAAUUCCCACGACCUUUGGCGGAAGCUAUGAGUACGACCACGGUGCUUGGCUGCAGUUUCGAUUGAAACAGGAAACCUUCAUGACGGGUUGUCGAAGUGCAACAAAGCUGGCUUUGACGGCAAUAGAUGAACUUGGAAUAGGAAAAUUUGGUGAAACGGUAAAAGAAUGUCAGAGAUUGCUCGAAGAACACGAUGAAAAAGUUAGCGCCAUCUUUUCAGACAGCCGCCUGUCUGCGUUGCAAGUCGAAGGUGAACAACUUGUGUCGGACAUGCAGCAGACAGAUAACUCGAACAAAACAUUAGACUGGAAAUAUAUCAUGGAAAUUGUCUCGAAAUUAUCUUUCAAAAUGAAUCAAGUUUUCUCCAAGCUGGAAGUUUUGUAUAGAAAACGAAAACGAGAGCUCGAGGAUUGUCUACAGUUAAAAUGCUUUCAAGAGGAAUACGCUAAGGUACUAAAAUGGCUACAGGAUGUCGGUAUGCCUUGUUUAGAAAAACCUUUGGAGAUUACACAGUGAUAUAGACAGGCACUCAGUUACCAUGGUAACUUCAAGAAAUUCCUGACUUCUGCUAAGGUAUUAUGGUAUGGAUUGGGAAGUAAAAACUACAGUUGAUUAUAUCAAUUUGUCGCAGGCACAGACAUGAACACCAGUGUUUUCUAACCUUUACUUAACCCCUCCCAUUCUUUGUUAAAGGUUUCUUUGAAAGGAAACUGGUCCACCUAGAGAAAAUCUAAAACUUUGGGCUUAGCGUUCACGAAUACCUGACUGCACAACUUUUCUUAAAUAUGUUUGUAAAUGUAGAUCGUCCAGAGUUAUAUACUCCAAGCUCAAGAUUUACUGGAGAUAGUUCAUUUAGUUCAUUUACUGCAGAUAGUUCCAUUACAAAUAGUUCUUUUUGUCGUUUUCGUCGUCGUCAUGCAAGACGUGAGCUCGGAGCAAAUCGAAAAAAUGAAGAUCUAGUGACGUUGGUUAAGAUGGUUGAAGAAUUACAAAUUUAGAAUGCAAAAGUGUUGAAAAAGUCAGAAGAAAAUUCUAGACUGAUCAAGAAUAUCAUUGGAAUUCAUGAAUAGGAAAAUGACUCUGCGCAGUCUCAAGACGAAAGUGUUAAGUCUUUAAAAUAUUGAAAUGUCUAUCUUCAUAAAGAUAAUGCUAUGAAUGAACUAUGUUUGCAUCGAACUGACAAAAUUAAAAGGUCUAAAAUAUUCAAACACUUCAUCAAAGAUAUUGUGCAAAUACACUAUUCAUGAAAUAUUGCGAAAGAAUUUCAUCGAAAAGAUGCCAGGAAACUGAAGGAUAUUUGAAAUUUUCUAAAUGGAUAUUAAAAAACUUUAAUAACUUGAGAAAUGAGAAUGUAAAACAACGUCGUUUUAAAAGUUCUAAUAAACGAGAAUGUAAAAUUAAUACCGAAAUCUUUCCUGUCAAAAGAAAUUUAACAUUUUUGAUAA
This is an RNA transcript of Xenia sp. Carnegie-2017, 1597 nucleotides long. It is a transcript of the gene named puratrophin-1-like, with no coding region annotated. The record is from RefSeq and is a predicted model, not a curated record. NCBI's taxonomy places the organism in Eukaryota, Metazoa, Cnidaria, Anthozoa, Malacalcyonacea, Xeniidae. The transcript is spliced from 6 exons.